GACGAGUCCUUUACUGACGCUAAAGCUCGAAAGUGCGGGUAUCGAACAGGAUUAGAUACCCUGGUAGUCCGCACGGUAAACGAUGGAUGCCCGCUGUUGGCGAUACAUUGUCAGCGGCCAAGCGAAAGCGUUAAGCAUCCCACCUGGGGAGUACGCCGGCAACGGUGAAACUCAAAGGAAUUGAUGGGGGCCCGCACAAGCGGAGGAACAUGUGGUUUAAUUCGAUGAUACGCGAGGAACCUUACCCGGGCUUGAACUGCCAGCGAACGAUACAGAGAUGUUGAGGCCCUUAGGGGCGCUGGUGGAGGUGCUGCAUGGUUGUCGUCAGCUCGUGCCGUGAGGUGUCGGCUUAAGUGCCAUAACGAGCGCAACCCCUUUCUUCAGUUGCCAUCAGGUUAUGCUGGGCACUCUGGAGACACUGCCGCCGUAAGGUGUGAGGAAGGUGGGGAUGACGUCAAAUCAGCACGGCCCUUACGUCCGGGGCUACACACGUGUUACAAUGGGUGAUACAGAGAGUCAGUGCAUGGCAAUAUGCAUUCAAUCAUGAAAGUCAUCCUCAGUUCGGAUUGGGGUCUGCAACCCGACCCCAUGAAGCUGGAUU
This 601-nucleotide ribosomal RNA is filed under the name uncultured bacterium. RNAcentral's name for it is "bacterial SSU rRNA". It matches the Rfam family "Bacterial small subunit ribosomal RNA", at positions 727 to 1332 of the family's 1533-position model. The record is from RNAcentral.